This 871-nucleotide ribosomal RNA is filed under the name uncultured bacterium. RNAcentral's name for it is "bacterial SSU rRNA". It matches the Rfam family "Bacterial small subunit ribosomal RNA", at positions 55 to 941 of the family's 1533-position model. The record is from RNAcentral.
AUGCAAGUCGAACGGUAACAGGAGAAGCUUGCUUCUUGCUGACGAGUGGCGCACGGGUGAGUAAUGCAUAGGUAACGUGCCCCUUAGUCUAGGAUAGCCACUGGAAACGGUGAUUAAUACUGGAUACUCCUUCUUCCUUAAUGGAAGUUGGGAAAGUUUUUCGCUAAGGGAUCGGCCUAUGUUGUAUCAGGUAGUUGGUGAGGUAAUGGCUCACCAAGCCUAUGACACAUAGCGGGUCUGAGAGGAUGAUCCGCCACACUGGUACUGAGACACGGACCAGACUCCUACGGGAGGCAGCAGUGGGGAAUAUUGCACAAUGGACGAAAGUCUGAUGCAGCAACGCCGCGUGGAGGAUGACACAUUUCGGUGCGUAAACUCCUUUUAUAUGAGAAGAUAAUGACGGUAUCAUAUGAAUAAGCACCGGCUAACUCCGUGCCAGCAGCCGCGGUAAUACGGAGGGUGCAAGCGUUAUUCGGAAUCACUGGGCGUAAAGGGUGCGUAGGCGGUUUGAUAAGUCUGAUGUGAAAUCCUAUGGCUCAACCAUAGAACUGCAUUGGAAACUGUCAAACUAGAAUACUGAAGGGGCAGAUGGAAUUAGUGGUGUAGGGGUAAAAUCCGUAGAUAUCACUAGGAAUACCGAAAGCGAAAGCGAUCUGCUGGGAAGUUAUUGACGCUGAGGCACGAAAGCGUGGGGAGCAAACGGGAUUAGAUACCCCGGUAGUCCACGCCCUAAACGAUGAAUGCUAGUCGUCGGAAAGCUCGUCUUUUCGGUGAUGCAGUUAACACAUUAAGCAUUCCGCCUGGGGAGUACGGUCGCAAGAUUAAAAACUCAAAGGAAUAGACGGGGACCCCGCACAAGUGGUGGAGCAUG